RNAcentral lists this ribosomal RNA (205 nucleotides) under Orbiliales sp. RNAcentral's name for it is "partial large subunit ribosomal RNA". Lineage: Eukaryota; Fungi; Ascomycota; Orbiliomycetes; Orbiliales. The record is from RNAcentral.
AAGCGCUCGCGACCAGACUUGACUAUUCAGUUCAGCGGUUCAUUUGGACCGUGUACUUCUGUUGGUCAGGCCAGCAUCAGUUCGGACGGUUGGAUAAAAGCGUUGGGAACGUAGCUCCUCGGAGUGUUAUAGCCCUUUGCAGAAUACAGCCAGACCGGACUGAGGUCAGCCAUUUGUAGGAUGCUGGCGUAAUGGUUGCUAGCGG